UUAUUUUUAUUGUAGGCGUUCAACAAUAGUUUUUACUUAAAAACGCGCAUUUCUUUAAUUUAAUUAAAGGAAAACGACAACUCUUCCAGGGGCUAGCAAUCAACCGAAUGCUGAUGAUGAUGCUCCAAAUUCCCAACAGAAAAAUUCUAUAGAUGGUGACUUGUGCUCUAAUUCCGAUGCUGAUUCGAGUCAGGGUUUUGUUUCUGAAAAAUUGAUAGAGUGGAAGUUGGAAGAAUACAACGAGAUCUUUAAUCGGGAGAAAAUUAAUAAAUUUGUGUUUUUACACAUUCCCGAUGAGAACCUUGGUGAACUAAUAAAAAACCAUUUGGAGAUCACUAUCAAUUUAUAUUUCAAAGACAACGACAUCUACAGUCCACGAACUCUGUUGUAAUCGCGCCUCAAGUAUCAUGUACUCCUGGAUCUAAAUUAAAAACAUUACUAAAAAGUACUUUCAAUGGACAAUACAUUCUGAAGCAAUCAAAUCUAUUGUCAUGUGGGAACGAACUGGCCACCAUUGUUGUUGAAUAUAUUUUAAGUCUAAAUAAACGACUGCUCAUUACAAAACAGCAGUAUCAAUUUUGGGCUGAUGAAAUAAGUGCUGUUUGGUCAAAAGAAAUCUCAACAACAUGGUAUCAUCAUCGUAGUGGAACUAACGCUACAUCAGGAAAGUUGUAUCAUCGCUUCUGCAAUCAAUCUAAAAAAGUUAAGUCAUCAGUAAAAAAAUUCUUGCAAGAAGAAAAAGAAGAUAUAGUGUGACAGGGUAAUUUUAAUGAACAUAAAUAAAUAAAUAAAUUUGAAUUUGAAUUUCGUUCCCGCCAUAACCGGCCGAUGACCUCGUAAGUUACGAGUAGUGUUGCGACUAGUCACCGGGUGUCGCAUAGAUCACUAAGGCCCGUCCGUUCGUCAUUUCCUUUAGUUUAAGAAAGUGGGAAUAGGUUUCCGGAGAAGUGGACGGGAGUGAAAAGAUAUAAUGGACUGCGGAACAAAAAGAAGUUAAGAGUUGUCCAGACGACGAGAACCAACGGACGCAAACUUAGCAUCAUCAAGGUAAAUAUAUACGUCCGUUCACGCUUCACGUGGAACGAGGCGAUAAUUAAUUUAUAUUUAACUGUUUAAUUAAUUAUUAGGCCUUUAGGCCGAUAAUUAUAAUAAUCGAUAACUUAACAAAAUAUUAAUGCGUACUGUUCCUUGACAGAUUACCAAUUGAAAUUCCUGGGUGACGAGAGAGAGAGAGUGCAGACCAGCGGAGAGAAACUUAGAGGAGGCGACGAGACCACUUGAUACCUUCUCAUCGUGACUGUUGGAGUUUCCUCGAGAUUAUUAAAUUGGCAAAGAAAAUCAAGACUGCCAAUAAGUUACUGGAAAAUCUUUCUGGUGUUCCAAGUGAUGUCAUAGCUUGGAAAGUAUUUGCGCAUCUUUUUAAACCUGUAUCGAUGGCUAGUGGUACAAAAAAGCCAUGGAAAGCAUCACGUAAAGAACAAGCUGAUGGUUUUAUAACUUGGAUAGAUGUUGUUGAUCAAAUGGAUACCGUAUUAACUACUCAAAGAAAGACUUGUGAGAACUGGAAAAUAUCUCUACAGCCUUUUAUUAUUGUUGUUGGACCUUUAGUAAACAUAACUGCAGCUUACGUUAUCAUCAACAGUGAACGGAUUCAAUUUGAUUCAGUGACAGCGCAGUUGCAUUUUGUUGGAAAGCAA
Microplitis demolitor is the source of this 1697-nucleotide long non-coding RNA. RefSeq lists it as uncharacterized. The record is from RefSeq and is a predicted model, not a curated record. The transcript is spliced from 4 exons. Lineage: Eukaryota; Metazoa; Arthropoda; Insecta; Hymenoptera; Braconidae.